RNAcentral lists this ribosomal RNA (385 nucleotides) under uncultured bacterium. RNAcentral's name for it is "bacterial SSU rRNA". It matches the Rfam family "Bacterial small subunit ribosomal RNA", at positions 335 to 713 of the family's 1533-position model. The record is from RNAcentral.
ACUCCUACGGGAGGCAGCAGUGGGGAAUAUUGCACAAUGGGGGAAACCCUGAUGCAGCCAUGCCGCGUGUGUGAAGAAGGCCUUGGGUUGUAAAGCACUUUCAGUAGGGAGGAAGGUAGUGUAGUUAACACCUGCAUUAUUUGUACGUUACCUACAGAAGAAGCACCGGCUAACUCCGUGCCAGCAGCCGCGGUAAUACGGAGGGUGCGAGCGUUAAUCGGAAUUACUGGGCGUAAAGCGCAUGCAGGCGGCCUGUUAAGUCAGAUGUGAAAGCCCGGGGUCUUAACCUCGGAAUUGCAUUUGAAACUGGCAGGCUAGAGUCUGUAGAGGGGUUAGAAUUUCAGGUGUAGCGGUGAAAUGCGUAGAGAUCUGAAGGAAUACCAGU